Molecule: ribosomal RNA, 254 nt
Filed under: uncultured bacterium
Lineage: Bacteria
Description: partial 16S ribosomal RNA
Rfam family: Bacterial small subunit ribosomal RNA
Source: RNAcentral
UACGAAGGGGGCUAGCGUUGUUCGGAAUUACUGGGCGUAAAGCGCGUGUAGGCGGGUCUUUUAAGUCAGGGGUGAAAUGCCAAGGCUCAACCUUGGAACUGCCUUUGAUACUGGAGACCUUGAGUCCGGGAGAGGUGAGUGGAAUUGCGAGUGUAGAGGUGAAAUUCGUAGAUAUUCGCAAGAACACCAGUGGCGAAGGCGGCUCACUGGCCCGGAACUGACGCUGAGACGCGAAAGCGUGGGGAGCAAACAGG